This 75-nucleotide transfer RNA is filed under the name candidate division MSBL1 archaeon SCGC-AAA259I09. RNAcentral describes it as "tRNA-Pro". Lineage: Archaea; Methanobacteriati; Methanobacteriota. The record is from RNAcentral.
GGGGCCGUGGGGUAGUCAGGUCUAGCCUCUUACCAUGGGGCGGUAGACACCCGAGUUCAAAUCUCGGCGGCCCCA